This 309-nucleotide ribosomal RNA is filed under the name uncultured bacterium. RNAcentral describes it as "partial 16S ribosomal RNA". It matches the Rfam family "Bacterial small subunit ribosomal RNA", at positions 504 to 807 of the family's 1533-position model. The record is from RNAcentral.
AGAGACAGCAGUAGCCGCGGGAAAACGAAGGGGGCUAGCGUUGUUCGGAUUUACUGGGCGUAAAGCGCACGUAGGCGGACUUUUAAGUCAGGGGUGAAAUCCCGGGGCUCAACCCCGGAACUGCCUUUGAUACUGGGAGUCUUGAGUUCGAGAGAGGUGAGUGGAAUUGCGAGUGUAGAGGUGAAAUGCGUAGAGAUCUGGAGGAAUACCGGUGGCGAAGGCGGCCCCCUGGUCCAUUACUGACGCUGAGGUGCGAAAGCGUGGGGAGCAAACAGGAUUAGAUACCCCAGUAGUCCCUGUCUCUUAUAC